AGGUCAAGUGAAGAAGGGCGCACGGUGAAUGCCUUGGCACUGGAAGCCGAUGAAGGACGCGACUAACCGCGAAAGUCUUCGGGGAGCCGUAAGUAGGCUUUGAUCCGGAGGUCUCCGAAUGGGGGAACCCAGCAUGUGCAGACAUGCUAUCCUUAAGUGAAUACAUAGCUUAAGGAGGGAACACGCAGUGAACUGAAACAUCUAAGUAGCUGCAGGAAGAGAAAGAAAUAUCGAUUUCCCAAGUAGCGGCGAGCGAACAGGAAAGAGCCCAAACCGGCAGAUUUAUCUGCCGGGGUUGUAGGACUGAGACAUGGCACUUCAGAGGAUAGCAGAAGCGUUUGGGAAAGCGCGCCAGAGAGGGUGAGAGCCCCGUAAGCGAAAUCCAAAGAAGGCCUAUCAGUAUCCUGAGUAGGGCGGGACACGUGAAAUCCCGUUUGAAUCCGCGAGGACCAUCUCGCAAGGCUAAAUACUAACCAGUGACCGAUAGUGAACCAGUACCGUGAGGGAAAGGUGAAAAGAACCCCGGGAGGGGAGUGAAAUAGAACCUGAAACCGUGUGCCUACAAGUAGUCAGAGCCCGUUAACGGGUAAUGGCGUGCCUUUUGUAGAAUGAACCGGCGAGUUGCGUUAGUCAGCAAGGUUAAGUCAGAAAAGACGGAGCCGUAGCGAAAGCGAGUCUGAAGAGGGCGAGCAGUUGGCUGACGCAGACCCGAAACCAAGUGACCUACCCAUGACCAGGUUGAAGGCGCGGUAAAACGCGCUGGAGGACCGAACCCACGUAAGUUGAAAAUUGCGGGGAUGAGUUGUGGGUAGCGGUGAAAUUCCAAACGAACUUGGAGAUAGCUGGUUCUCUCCGAAAUAGCUUUAGGGCUAGCCUCGCAAAGAGGAUGCUGGAGGUAGAGCUCUGUUUGGACUAGGGGCCCGUCAAGGGUUACUGAAUUCAGAUAAACUGCGAAUUCCAGACAUUUAUGUGCGGGAGUCAGACUGCGAGUGAUAAGAUCCGUAGUCGAAAGGGAAACAGCCCAGAUCACCAGUUAAGGUCCCAAAAUUCAUGCUAAGUGGAAAAGGAUGUGGAGUUGCGCAGACAACUAGGACGUUGGCUCAGAAGCAGCCAUCAUUCAAAGAGUGCGUAAUAGCUCACUAGUCGAGUGACGCCGCGCCGAAAAUUUACCGGGGCUAAGCAUGAUAC
This 1188-nucleotide ribosomal RNA is filed under the name Lactobacillus delbrueckii subsp. bulgaricus. RNAcentral's name for it is "partial 23S ribosomal RNA". It matches the Rfam family "Bacterial large subunit ribosomal RNA", at positions 1 to 1194 of the family's 2925-position model. Lineage: Bacteria; Bacillati; Bacillota; Bacilli; Lactobacillales; Lactobacillaceae. The record is from RNAcentral.